Non-coding RNA from Anas platyrhynchos (mallard), 2774 nucleotides. The record is from RefSeq and is a predicted model, not a curated record. NCBI's taxonomy places the organism in Eukaryota, Metazoa, Chordata, Aves, Anseriformes, Anatidae.
UGCUCCUGGUGAGCGAAGUACAGCCAGGUGGAAAUUGAAGCUGGGAGAUUCAGCCCUCCUUUUCCUUUGCUUGUCCCCAAUUUAGUGCCAGUGACCAGUUUCACCUGGUCGCACCGAACACGAAUUUGCCCUUCUCCCCGCAUGAGGACCUGCUUGGCCACAAACCAAACCAAACGAGCAGUGCCAGUAAACUUUGUCCUUCCACAACAUAUUGCACCGGCACGGCCGGGGCGGCCGUUAGAGGAGGAGCUUGGCCGGGGGAGAAGCAGGAUGCUGGGGCAGGAGCCACCAUCAGCAGGCAGGUGGCUGGCCCCAGCAGCAGGAAGGUGCAGGCCACCUGGGGCACGUUAGCGGGUUGGGGUGUGUUACAGCUCACAGCUCAGUGAAAUCAAUGGAAAUCAGCUUCAAGGGUUCAUGGGCAUCACAGGAUGCGAGCUGCAGGGUCAUCAGAUACUGCAGGACACACAGAUUUCUCCUUUUCUUUCCCAUUUCUGCAGGACUCACCUCAGGCUGUUAUUUUGGAGGCGUUUUCUGUGCUGCAGCUCUCUUCCCUGACCUCUGCAGGAUCUGGCUGAUCCCGAUCUGGAGGUGAAAGAUUGCCACCUCACGGGCUGUGAACCCAUCUGUGAGGUUGGGCUCUGAAUUAUUAACACAAUCAAUGGCCGCUUCUUUUCAUCCUGCAAGAGGCACAGAGGAAAGCUUCGGGGCCCUGGAAGGGAGGGAGGGGAAGGGGAGAGAAGUGACCGGUGCCGAUGGGUUUCCUUGGGGUGGAAAUAUCCCCAUGCCUGUUUCAUUUUGGAGCAGGAAAAAUUUGGGAAAAAGAACAGGAGGAAGGUGACCGAGAGGUGCUGUAGGGCUGAUGGUGGCACUGGGAACCUCUCCGUCUGUCUGUCUGGGGAAGGACGUCUUUCCCUCCAGCCCCUUUGGUGCAUCACAGCCUACACCCAAAUGGGGUCCCCAAGAGCGUGGAGGAGAGAGUCUCACCUCCAAGGAGAGAAAGGGCUGGGGAAUAAAGAAACACUUUUAUUCCCCAAGUGCCACGAAGCUGACAACGAGGCUGUGUUCCCCAUGCAAGGAGGGAGGCCACGGAUGUCUCCAGGAUGGAGCCCAGCACUGAAGUGGUGCAGGUUUGGUGGCCACAUUGUGGUGACGUUGGUUUCUCCCAGCUCCUUCUCCUGCUGCACCUGGGAGGAAGGCGCCACAGCCCUGUCCCAGCCAAGGGCCAGGGACAAGGGAAAACUCCCCAGUUCUGAGCCCCAAGAAGGAAACGAAGCCAACUGGAAAUGAGAAAAUACAACGGCAUCUUCACUCCAGUUUUUCCAAGAGGUUAAAAAAAAAAAAAAAAAAGCUAUUGUGCUAAGAGAGCUAUUCUUUCUGGGGAGAUAACACAAAGCAUUGUUGCGGAGCUGGCCAAAAUGUCUGAGGAACAUUUCCCCCCCGUCCCUUAUUUUCAUUAAAAUUCAGAUCAACAUUACAAGUGAGAUAAGACAAGAAGCAUACAGUUACAGUUCUGCAGCACUUUGUGAUCACUCACAGGUUCUGUAAUCCCUGCUCGGGGGGCUUAGGGUUCAGCCGGGCUCAUUUCAGAGCUCACCCAGUGCCUUGCUCCCGCUCCGGCCGCUGCUCGUCUGCGCCGCUCGCACGGGAGACCCGCAGCAGGACAGGCUGCACAGCCAAGCAAAACCUCACAGAUGCAUCAGCUGCCCUGGCUGGGGACCAAAAUUCAUUUUUUCUUUUUUUUCCUAUGAGGCCAUUUAUUAAGACUCUUCCCUUAUUUUAAUUUGAUGUUUGCUUUAAGCAUGAAGAAAAUGAUAGCAGUGCAACUGCAGCCCCAGCAGUAAAUGCACAGCACGGCAACUGAGAAACGCCAGAAGUCAUUUCUGUUGCCAGGUAUUCCCAGAGAAAAUAUUCAGGCCGUGGUCCAGCACCGAAUUUAUAAUUCUGCCACACCAGGAGCUCACUGCCGUGGGCAUGAAGCUCCUCUGCCAGCCUCCCUGGCCAUCACACGGUGACUGUCUGCUGCUAGAGGUGAUGCUGUGCAAAGGGCUGGUGGUCUUCACAUCGAGAGGAAUGAGACCAGCUACAACUGCAGCAAGGAAUCCUCCUCCAUGAGCUCUUACGAGGGCCAUCGUCACCAUCUGGCCUCCGGGUAUUUGCAGCAGGCAGGGGCGUUGUUCCUCGGGUUCAACCCGUGUUCAGAUUUAGGGACGUGUUGCAGUAUCAGGCUGAGUGGGGCCCUCAGAGCAACAUUUAGUGUUGAGCACCCCCUGGCAGUUACAUGGACCCAAUGAAGUGAUGUGAUCCACGGGAUCUGUUAAAUUCGGCGCCAGGCUGUGCACACAUAAGGUCAUAAAGGCAGCAAGAUGGACAGGAGUCGAGUGCUUCUGGGCUUCUGGGGAGCAGCCCGGGCUGUCGCUCCUUCUGCUGUCAUUCCUUGACUGACAAAAGGCCCAAAACACAUCACGUACCAGGCGGGUUGGAGAUCCGAACCCUCCCCGAAUAACUCAGCCCCACUGCGUGCAUCGUGCGAGACACCAGCACGCGGGGCCCAACCAAAGAGAGACGUCAGCUCCCAAAACCAGAGGAGCUGCGUGGAGGAGCUCCAGCAAAUUGGCACCUCCUCGCCAGGGGAACACAGACGGGGCAGCACCGAGCCAGAUGGAGGGGGAGAACGCUCAGCUGGGAGUUUCAGGAUGGGAAUUAUACAAACCCAGCCACCAGCACGUCACCUUUUCAAAGGCUUCAAAUCCGCUACAAAUUGCUUCUGAAUGACA